CACGCACGCACACACACACACAAACACAUAGACACACACAAAAGAUGUCUGCAGUUUUCUGUUGACCGUGCAUGAUGGCAUUUCUGGGCUCUGUGUGCUGCCUCUGCUAUUGAUUGCUAUUCCACACACGCACGCACACAUGCACACACCGGCAAGCUUGCUCCCCACUCGGGAAAAAGAAAAAAGUCAUCGUUACCAGCCCCUCAGUAUCUCUGAGCAUCCUAGCCUCUGACCUGACGUCUCUAGAGUGAUAUCGCACGAGUGUCUUCCACACCCUCCUCUUUCUCUUCCUCUUCUCACCACCCCCGACGCCCCCCCCACUCUUCAGCCUCCCUAGCUUCGUUAUCCUGCCUGGAUCUAAUCUGGCAGCCGUGUUCUGGAAGAGGAGCAAGAGAGAGGAAAAAGGAAGAGACGUACAGAGACCUACCGCUAGAGAACAAGGAGGAUAUAACAGGUAUUGUUACACUUUAUCCUUGUGUCUUUAUUCGUUUUUUGCUUGUUUUAUGCCCAUUUGUGGAGAUUUCCCGCGUCUCGUUGUCUUUGCCCGCUCUCCCUCUAACUUGCCACCCUCGUUACUGGUGUCGCCCGUUAGAUUGAGACCUCCCGGGACUGCCUUUUUUUUCUCUCUCUCUCCUUUCCUCUUCCUUUUCUGGCAGGAGUUGUUAAUUUUCUCUUUGGUGUUCUUGGAUUAUUUGGCUCAUUUUCCCUGUGGGUCGUUAUCGGUUGCUUGGAGUCUCUCCUUAUAGGAAUAAGGAUUUCUCUUUUUUUUGCCCCCUCCCCUGUUUUCCCCUGAUCCAUUUACAAAGUGUCUUGGGAGCUGGGAUCCGGUGGGACGAAGUGAGUGAGUCUGAACAAAGAUAAGGCUGACACUUUUGGAAACAGG
This 883-nucleotide long non-coding RNA is filed under the name Ornithorhynchus anatinus (platypus). RNAcentral's name for it is "lncRNA (ENSOANG00000038523.1)". Lineage: Eukaryota; Metazoa; Chordata; Mammalia; Monotremata; Ornithorhynchidae. The record is from RNAcentral.